GUCUACGUGUGACGGCGAGCUGAGUCACGCGUUCAGCCGUUCACCUGGCUCGUAAUUACUUGAGAGAAAUGAUGUAUUUGCGAGUUAUUGCGCCAAGGAUUCCGAGACAGAAGCAGCUUGUGCUUGUGCUGUCUGUUAGCCGAGCCAAGUGAUUGCGUCGUCGGAAGACAGAAAUAAACCUGGAGCCCUUCCCUUGGGUUUCCUCCACCGCGCCAGCAGCAGCAGCAGCAGAGUCAACUCUGCUCGAAUAGAAAUAUCGUCUCGAAAAGAUAUUUCGGCCAAUCGUCGCUCCCUUGACGUGAUUGGUACGCAGACACCCACUCUCGAUUCGUUUCUUCUUCUCCGGAACUAUUCCCGCUAUUAUCUCUAUUCACUUUGAUAUUUAAUUUACAUAAACUCGCGAGUUCAUUUUUCACACAAUUUGGUGUGAUUGAAUGAAUUCUAUUAGCUAUUCAUUCCGUGAUGGUGUCGGAGGUUUUUCUUUUUUUCUGACUUGCUUAAUGGGCGUAAAACCGUGAGAAACCCCAUGGAAAAGUUCUUUUUCAAUUCAAGUACAACCGGAAGAAGCUAUGGAAUCGUCUUUCCGUUUAAAAAAUAAAUAAAUGGAGAAAAAACCACAAAA
This is a long non-coding RNA of Daphnia pulex (common water flea), 622 nucleotides long. RefSeq lists it as uncharacterized. The record is from RefSeq and is a predicted model, not a curated record. NCBI's taxonomy places the organism in Eukaryota, Metazoa, Arthropoda, Branchiopoda, Diplostraca, Daphniidae. The transcript has 2 exons.